AUGGGCGGUUGGGUGGGCAGUUGAAUGGUUGACGGGUAGCUGUGUGGCGGGAGAAGUGGCUGGCUGAGCGGCUAAACGCGCAGGAAUGGGGGGAGCGGGCAGGUGCCUGACUGUGUGGUUGGAGGGGCGGCUGCAUGGCGGGAGAGGCUUAGUGCAAGAGAUGAGCACAAAAGUCUUCAGACUGAUCACGAGAAAAGAUCAGAGUUCAAAUGAUGGUGAGGCCAGAGGGGAUCUGAUGACUCUGCAUUGAUACAUUUCUAUGCAGAGCAACAUAACCACCAAAAAUUCAGUGUAAAGCAAUCCAGUCAUUAUCGACAAGCAGGCCAAGACCCUGGAAGCAGUCGAUGGUCAUCUGUAUGGCUUGGAUGGCCUCCUCGUGAGUCUGUGCUUUGAGCAGGCAAUCAUCCAGUUGCCAGUGUAUGGAUGUGUAGGGAUCUCAGCAUCGCUCUGGAAUCCUUCAUGGUAUGCCGCACCUUGUUGGUCUUUACUGCAAAUAACUUUCUGCCAUCGAAGGGGAGAUCCUCCAUGGUGUUUUGCAUCUCACAUGGGAAAGAAGAGGAGGAAAACCAUGAAGCUCGACGCAUAAUGACGGCUGUCACAGUGGACCUGGCAGCUGUGUCCACAGCACUGAGGACAGCCUGUAGCGCCGUGCGGGAAAUAAUCUGCCCUUCAGAGACUACUGCUUUGAAUUGUUGUCUCGUCUUCUAGGAUGUCAUUAAUAAAGUCCAUGGAUUUCCCGUAA
Long non-coding RNA from Mauremys reevesii (Reeves's turtle), 742 nucleotides. RefSeq lists it as uncharacterized. Lineage: Eukaryota; Metazoa; Chordata; Testudines; Geoemydidae. The record is from RefSeq and is a predicted model, not a curated record. The transcript is spliced from 5 exons.